This 2378-nucleotide long non-coding RNA is filed under the name Salmo salar (Atlantic salmon). RNAcentral's name for it is "lncRNA (ENSSSAG00000120906.1)". Lineage: Eukaryota; Metazoa; Chordata; Actinopteri; Salmoniformes; Salmonidae. The record is from RNAcentral.
UCAAGGGAAAGAUUUACAGUUAAUCCUCAAAAUGGACAGAGGCAAGACUUCAUCAGCAAAAAUUAUUUUGAUUUCAACUUAAUACGUUGAUAUUAAAUCUUUAAUACAAAUCCAUUAAGAUGAUUGUUUGAUUAAGUCAUUUUUGAUGCAAUCAAAAUCUCGAUGAAAUGCUUAAAUCUGCAUAGUCUUUCCCUACCACAGAUCUAACCACUGCAUCAAGCAUCUCCCAGAUAAAUGACAUUAAUUAAAUAACACAAGCUUAAGGAACAGAAUUCAAAUGAAUGAAAAACUAUUGAAAUGAGUGAGUUACAUAUUAUAGUUUGUUUGAGGCCUCACAUAACAGUUUACCUCACCUUUCCUCCUUGUACUCUACAAUGAUCCUCAAUUUUAAUUCCCUCACUAACGAAACUGAGAUUUUCUCCUCUGGCUUCAAGAGGAGGUGACAGAAAGCAAUUUUAAAGUGUAUAUUAAAAAUGUAUUGUUUCUUUUGUGGUAUCACUCAAGGUAGAAGAGUUUUAUGACAUCAAAAUGUACACUGUCUCUUGGCCAUGAGCUGGAGAGGAGAAGGAUGAGUGGUAAGACUUCACUGGAGAGGAGAAGGAUGAGUGGUAAGACUUCACUGGAGAGGAGAAGGAUGAGUGGUAAGACUUCACUGGAGAGGAGAAGGAUGAGUGGUAAAACUUCACUGGAGAGGAGAAGGAUGAGUGGUAAGACUUCACUGGAGAGGAGAAGGAUGAGUGGUAAGACUUCACUGGAGAGGAGAAGGAUGAGUUGUAAGACUUCACUGGAGAGGAGAAGGAUGAGUGGUAAGACUUCACUGGAGAGGAGAAGGAUGAGUGGUAAGACUUCACUGGAGAGGAGAAGGAUGAGUGGUAAGACUUCACUGGAGAGGAGAAGGAUGAGUGGUAAGACUUCACUGGAGAGGAGAAGGAUGAGUGGUAAGACUUCACUGGAGAGGAGAAGGAUGAGUACACAUUGCUUGUCUUUUCUCCUUUAUCUUUAUAGAACCUCUUCCUAGGUGCUAACUAGCCCGGAUGCCUGUCAGUUUGCCAGGCAUUGGCUGGUCCUUUGUCACUGUCCUGCCAAACCGGAGUAAGCUGGUUGUGUAUGUAUGAGAGGAUAAACACAGCACUUCUCUCUGGUCAGGGUGCCAGUCUUCCAGUCUGUCUCAGUCUGUUCUAGCUAGCUGUUUGGCAUGCAGGGCUGGCUGACUGUUCAAAUAGACUGAAGGCUAGAAAAUGUUUAUUAGUCACAAUUUGAGGGGGUUUAGAAAUGUUAACAUGCAGAGCGCUGCUGGGACAUAGGCCAAUCGAGGGAGACAGGGUAUUUACAUAAGAGGCAGGCUAAGGUGUGUGGGGGUAAGGAGGGGGUGGGUGGGGUGAGGAGUGUAGGGAGUGAUUAGUGACAGACAGGUGCAGGAUGGGUAUGUUCCAAAGUGGUUGGGAUGAGGUACAUGGGGAAAGUGUAAGGGGGUUUGAGUGAGGUGUGUUGAGGUGUUCGUACAUAGGGGGAGUCAGUGCAGUGUGUGUUGCAGCUAACUGCAGUCUUGAUGAUUUGAAUGAUAAAUAUGGGCAUUAGAUAACAUUAGGUAACAUUAGGUAACAUUAGGUAACAUUAAGUAACAUUAGAUAACAUUAGAUAACAUUAGGUAACAUUAGAUAACAUUAGGUAACAUGAGGUAACAUUAGGUAACAUUAGAUAACAUUAGGUAACAUUAGAUAACAUUAGAUAACAUUAGGUAACAUUAGGUAACAUUAGAUAACAUUAGGUAACAUUAGAUAACAUUAGGUAACAUUAGGUAACAUUAGAUAACAUUAGGUAACAUUAGGUAACAUUAGGUAACAUUAGGUAACAUUAGAUAACAUUAGGUAACAUUAGAUAACAUUAGGUAACAUUAGGUAACAUUAGAUAACAUUAGAUAACAUUAGAUAACAUUAGAUAACAUUAGGUAACAUUAGGUAACAUUAGGUAACAUUAGGUAACAUUAGAUAACAUUAGGUAACAUUAGGUAACAUUAGAUAACAUUAGGUAACAUUAGAUAACAUUAGGUAACAUUAGAUAACAUUAGGUAACAUUAGGUAACAUUAGAUAACAUUAGGUAACAUUAGAUAACAUUAGAUAACAUUAGAUAACAUUAGGUAACAUUAGCUGAGGUACUUGGGGGGUGGGAGGAAGUCUGGGGCUCUUGCGAUCGUUGACAUUUUUCGUACGGUCCUGUCGCCGUAUAGCAAAUCUCCUCCUGCUCAUCGUAAUGACGGCCUGCCAGCCAGCCAGACGGGGCUAGUGCCUCUCUGUCAAUCACAGGUUUCCAUGGUGAUCCAUGGACAGUCCCUCAUGACAGUCCUCAUACUGGACACCCUGGAGAGAGAGAGGGUGGG